This 72-nucleotide transfer RNA is filed under the name Enterococcus cecorum. RNAcentral describes it as "tRNA-Gly". It matches the Rfam family "tRNA". Rfam says of the family: Transfer RNA (tRNA) molecules are approximately 80 nucleotides in length. Their secondary structure includes four short double-helical elements and three loops (D, anti-codon, and T loops). Further hydrogen bonds mediate the characteristic L-shaped molecular structure. tRNAs have two regions of fundamental functional importance: the anti-codon, which is responsible for specific mRNA codon recognition, and the 3' end, to which the tRNAs corresponding amino acid is attached (by aminoacyl-tRNA synthetases). tRNAs cope with the degeneracy of the genetic code in two manners: having more than one tRNA (with a specific anti-codon) for a particular amino acid; and 'wobble' base-pairing, i.e. permitting non-standard base-pairing at the 3rd anti-codon position. Lineage: Bacteria; Bacillati; Bacillota; Bacilli; Lactobacillales; Enterococcaceae. The record is from RNAcentral.
GCGGAAAUAGCUCAGUGGUAGAGCACCACCUUGCCAAGGUGGGGGUCGCGGGUUCGAAACCCGUUUUCCUCU